RNAcentral lists this long non-coding RNA (784 nucleotides) under Dromaius novaehollandiae (emu). Its description in RNAcentral is "lncRNA (ENSDNVG00000008697.1)". Lineage: Eukaryota; Metazoa; Chordata; Aves; Casuariiformes; Dromaiidae. The record is from RNAcentral.
CGCGGCGGGCGGUUCGCGGCUUCCGCAGCCUAAUGCUGUGGGUAGCGGUGCRGGUGCGCUGCUGGGGGAUCGCUCUUACUAAAGUGAGGGUUUGAUUUGGUUGAGCUCAGGAAUAUACAUACAUACAUAUAUAUAUAUAAAAUAUAUUUUUAUAUAUAUAUAUAUGUAUAUUUAAGACUGUAUAGUGUUUAAUCAGCAUGGGUUAAGAGCCGAACUAUGUAUUUGUAUGUGUAUGUGCCCAAAUCCAGCAACAGUGCAGUUUGUGUACUUUGGCACGCUGCCAACUGUACAUUGACCAACUGCCCAUCUAAGCAUGAAUGUAUGCUUCUGCGAAAUCCGUCCUUGCGUUUCGCGGAGGCAAACUCUGAUUAACAGCAAGCAGGAGUGUUGGCUGCAUAAAGACUGAAUGCUACUAAGAAAAAUCCAAAAUGCGGGGUGCAGCAAGUUCCUCCGGGCGCACUCAGACCCAGCUGGGUCUGUACACGGCCUCUGGAUCCUCCUGCUCUGCAGUCACAUGAGGACUCGCUGGGAGUGGACCCAGACAAGCCAGGGACAGCAUCCUAGAGGACUUCACACAGGACACAUUCUCCUUCGCCCAGGUGCUCCAGGAGAGCAGGGAUCCCGGUGCCAGAGCAGCCCCAAAGGCUGGUGACUGCGGUGCUCUCCUUGGAGCACAACAUGUCUGUCCUCCUCAGGCAAAAGCAAUGGAGCUGAAGGCAAGUGCUCCACAUGCUGGGUGAGCUGUAACAAUCAAGCUAUUAAAUAAAAGGGGAGGGAAGCAUCA